This 156-nucleotide ribosomal RNA is filed under the name Akanthomyces muscarius. RNAcentral's name for it is "5.8 S ribosomal RNA". It matches the Rfam family "5.8S ribosomal RNA". Rfam says of the family: 5.8S ribosomal RNA (5.8S rRNA) is a component of the large subunit of the eukaryotic ribosome. It is transcribed by RNA polymerase I as part of the 45S precursor that also contains 18S and 28S rRNA. The record is from RNAcentral. Lineage: Eukaryota; Fungi; Ascomycota; Sordariomycetes; Hypocreales; Cordycipitaceae.
AAACUUUCAACAACGGAUCUCUUGGUUCUGGCAUCGAUGAAGAACGCAGCGAAAUGCGAUAUGUAAUGUGAAUUGCAGAAUUCAGUGAAUUAUCGAAUUUUUGAACGCACAUUGCCCGCCAGCAUUCUGGCGGGCAUGCCUGUUCGAGCGUCAUUU